Molecule: long non-coding RNA, 257 nt
Organism: Mytilus californianus (California mussel)
Lineage: Eukaryota; Metazoa; Mollusca; Bivalvia; Mytilida; Mytilidae
Exons: 3
Source: RefSeq, a predicted model, not a curated record
UUCAAAAGUAUAAAAGCUAAUUGGAGUGAAAAGAAGAUUCAAGUUGUAGCCGCAUUGCUCUGCUUAAUAGUUUUUCUAUAUUCUGAAGGUAAACCCCAAGGCAAGGGCAAAUGCAAAGGCAAGGCAAAGAACAACUACGAAUUAAGUUAUGAGAAAAAUGGGUACCAUGACCAGGAAAAUCCGUGCAAAAGGUGUAAAGGCGAUAUGCACCAGUACUCCUGGUGCUUACUUGUGGAUUCCAGAAACAAGAGAAGAGG